UACAGAGGUCCCAAGCGUUGUUCGGAUUCACUGGGCGUAAAGGGUGCGUAGGUGGUGUGUCGCGUCUGCCGUGAAAGCCCGGGGCUUAACUCCGGGUCUGCGGUGGAUACGGGCAGACUAGAGGCAGGUAGGGGAGAACGGAAUUCCCGGUGUAGCGGUGAAAUGCGCAGAUAUCGGGAGGAACACCGGUGGCGAAGGCGGUUCUCUGGGCCUGUACUGACGCUGAGGAGCGAAAGCGUGGGGAGCGAACAGG
RNAcentral lists this ribosomal RNA (253 nucleotides) under uncultured bacterium. RNAcentral's name for it is "partial 16S ribosomal RNA". It matches the Rfam family "Bacterial small subunit ribosomal RNA", at positions 524 to 776 of the family's 1533-position model. The record is from RNAcentral.